Molecule: long non-coding RNA, 666 nt
Organism: Pogoniulus pusillus (Red-fronted tinkerbird)
Lineage: Eukaryota; Metazoa; Chordata; Aves; Piciformes; Lybiidae
Exons: 3
Source: RefSeq, a predicted model, not a curated record
AAUCCCAGCGCGGCUCUCGGCACUGUCGCGAUAUCUCCGAUCCCCGCCCUGCUCUCUCGGUUCCGGGCCCCCACUGCUUCCAUAAACAAAGGCUCGUUUGGGAGCAUUGCCGGGUCACGGAGAGCGGCGGCGCUGCGGCAGCUGCUUUCACCUGGGCUACUGCUGCCACUGAAGUCACUGCUGCCGCUGGUUUCCCUGAGGGCUGUGCUGCCACUCCAGCAGGUCCAGAUCCUUGUGCUGGAUGCUUCACAACUGCACACAGGACUGCAGGUGAAGAUGUCAGGGUGGCUGAAGUCCCUCAUGAAGACCAGGACCUGUGAUCAUGAAGCUUCCCCUAUUUGCUUGUAAAGGGCCUCAUCUGCUUCGUCUUCCUGAUCAGGUGGAGCUCCAUGGACUCCAGUUUAUCAUUGCUGUAGAGGGCAACACCCCCUCCCCUUCUGCCCUGCUUGUCCCUCCUGAAGAAUCUAUAACCAUACCAAGCUGAAAUCAUGAGAUCCAUCCCACCAUGUCUCAGUGGUGCCAAUGACAUCAUAACCCCAUAGACUUGCACAUAUUUGCAGUUCUUCCUGCUUGCCCCAUACCAUUUUCCACUAUAUGCUGGUUGCCCCCUCAGGCCUUUCCUUUCCUGAGCCACAGCCUCUGCUCAGGGAACUCCUUCUACUCUUG